GCCUUUGUGGUGCAGUGGUCAGCACGCUGGGCCCGUGUUCCAGUGGUCCGUGGUUCGAGUCCCGGCGAAGGCG
Non-coding RNA from Stegodyphus mimosarum, 73 nucleotides. NCBI's taxonomy places the organism in Eukaryota, Metazoa, Arthropoda, Arachnida, Araneae, Eresidae. The record is from Rfam.